Molecule: ribosomal RNA, 253 nt
Filed under: uncultured bacterium
Lineage: Bacteria
Description: partial 16S ribosomal RNA
Rfam family: Bacterial small subunit ribosomal RNA
Source: RNAcentral
UACGAAGGGGGCUAGCGUUGCUCGGAAUUACUGGGCGUAAAGCGCACGUAGGCGGCUUUCUAAGUCGGGGGUGAAAUCCUGGAGCUCAACUCCAGAACUGCCUUUGAUACUGGAAAGCUUGAGUCCGGGAGAGGUGAGUGGAACUCCGAGUGUAGAGGUGAAAUUCGUAGAUAUUCGGAAGAACACCAGUGGCGAAGGCGGCUCACUGGCCCGGUACUGACGCUGAGGUGCGAAAGCGUGGGGAGCAAACAGG